CACGUAGGGCGCAAGCGUUGUUCGGAAUUACUGGGCGUAAAGAGUGUGUAGGCGGUGCUCUAAGUCUGUUGUGAAAUCUCCCGGCUUAACUGGGAGGGUGCGGCGGAAACUGGAGUGCUCGAGUGUGGGAGAGGUAAGCGGAAUUCCUGGUGUAGCGGUGAAAUGCGUAGAUAUCAGGAGGAACACCUGUGGUGUAGACAGCUUACUGGACCACGACUGACGCUGAGACACGAAAGCGUGGGUAGCAAACAGG
This 253-nucleotide ribosomal RNA is filed under the name uncultured bacterium. RNAcentral describes it as "partial 16S ribosomal RNA". It matches the Rfam family "Bacterial small subunit ribosomal RNA", at positions 524 to 776 of the family's 1533-position model. The record is from RNAcentral.